GUCUCAGGCACGCGCUGUUACCUGUCCAUCCAGCCGCCUUGCAGAAAUGAAUCACUUACUUCCAAUGUUUCCUAAAGUGGCAAUGGGCCCUCGGGCCUUCUCGCUGGGGAGCGUCUCUGCCCCCCAUUCUGGAAGGGGUUUCUGGAAGAGCGAACAAUUCAGCGACACUUGGCUCACUCACAAUGGUCUACAGCAGUCAGCUCCGUCUGGUUCCAGAACAUUCCCAUCACCCUGAC
Microcebus murinus (gray mouse lemur) is the source of this 236-nucleotide non-coding RNA. Lineage: Eukaryota; Metazoa; Chordata; Mammalia; Primates; Cheirogaleidae. The record is from RefSeq and is a predicted model, not a curated record.